AGCGAACGCUGGCGGCAUGCUUAACACAUGUAAGUCGCACGGGCAGCAAUGUCAGUGGCGGACGGGUGAGUAUCGCGUAGGAAUGUAUCCUGAGGUGGGGGACAACCCUGGGAAACUGGGGCUAAUACCGCAUAUGGACUGAGGUCCAAAGCCGUGAGGCGCCUUGGGAGCAGCCUGCGUCCGAUUAGGUAGUUGGUGGGGUAAAGGCCUACCAAGCCUGCGANCGGUAGCUGGUCUGAGAGGACGAUCAGCCACACUGGGACUGAGACACGGCCCAGACUCCUACGGGAGGCAGCAGGU
Molecule: ribosomal RNA, 300 nt
Filed under: uncultured bacterium
Lineage: Bacteria
Description: bacterial SSU rRNA
Rfam family: Bacterial small subunit ribosomal RNA
Source: RNAcentral